AGUGAACCAAACCAAUGUGUCUACUCAUCGCAAGAUGGUUGGUCACCUAAUUAUGCAGCAACAAAAUAGAGUUCAACAAUUUGUGGCUCUUGUACCGAAGCCGGGAGCAAAAUCUGAUUUGAACGAAAGUGUUUUGGAUGAAAGGGAGAUGAAGUCGAGUAUUACGAAGGCCCAGCGCAUUCCGACAGUAGUUCAGCACCGCUCUCAUUAUCAUCUUCGAUGGAAAACAUCCAUCUAUUAUCAGACGACGAUACUGAGGUAAAUCAUGUUGCUGCUUCAACAUCUUUGGUGUUAUACCAAAAACCAUCGCCGAUAACCAACCCUUGUUUGCCACUAAUUUUAUCGCCAAAUAUAUUUGAAAUGAGACACCUGCAUUCGUUGGAGACCAAACCAUUGUUUCCAGUUCCGUCCACAUCGAAUCAAGUAAGGUUACCAUCUCCACUGGCAUCGUCGUCCCCACAAGUUUCUGCACCACUCGUCAAUAACUUUAUGCGCCGUAACCAUGCAGCUGUUAUCUCCAUUAUAAGCGGCUACCCGCUCAAGUAGACCUAGAGUUGUCACGGUACGGCGAAGAGUAAUACCACCGAAAGGGUUAGCACCACAUUGGCGUUACUGUAAAUUUACUGGUUCCGCAAAAGUAGAUGAUAUUUCAUUUGAGCCUAAUGAAGAAAAGAGUGCCAUGGAAUACUUCAAGCUGUUCUUCUCAGACGACAUCGUCUCUCAUAUAGUGAAACAAAACAAAAUAUCUAUAGCACACAGAUAAAUGGUACAUCUACUAAUACUACAGAAGUUGGUGUCAAAGACUUUUUGACCUUUUGAAUUGACGACUCACAUAGUCGUUAAAAUGUGUAACGAUAUAAUAGAGGUAUAGUAGCUGAUAAUAUGACAUUAAAGAAAUUCUAACUA
This is a long non-coding RNA of Spodoptera litura, 906 nucleotides long. RefSeq lists it as uncharacterized. The record is from RefSeq and is a predicted model, not a curated record. NCBI's taxonomy places the organism in Eukaryota, Metazoa, Arthropoda, Insecta, Lepidoptera, Noctuidae.